Molecule: ribosomal RNA, 492 nt
Filed under: uncultured bacterium
Lineage: Bacteria
Description: bacterial SSU rRNA
Rfam family: Bacterial small subunit ribosomal RNA
Source: RNAcentral
CUACGUGCCAGCAGCCGCGGUAAUACGUAGGGCGCGAGCGUUGUCCGGAAUUAUUGGGCGUAAAGAGCUUGUAGGCGGUUUGUCGCGUCUGCUGUGAAAGGCCGGGGCUUAACUCCGUGUAUUGCAGUGGGUACGGGCAGACUAGAGUGCAGUAGGGGAGACUGGAAUUCCUGGUGUAGCGGUGGAAUGCGCAGAUAUCAGGAGGAACACCGAUGGCGAAGGCAGGUCUCUGGGCUGUAACUGACGCUGAGAAGCGAAAGCAUGGGGAGCGAACAGGAUUAGAUACCCUGGUAGUCCAUGCCGUAAACGUUGGGCACUAGGUGUGGGGGACAUUCCACGUUUUCCGCGCCGUAGCUAACGCUUUAAGUGCCCCGCCUGGGGAGUACGGCCGCAAGGCUAAAACUCAAAGGAAUUGACGGGGGCCCGCACAAGCGGCGGAGCAUGCGGAUUAAUUCGAUGCAACGCGAAGAACCUUACCAAGGCUUGACAUGC